GUCAGGUUCCUCUGAAACUGGGAUGCACAACCCAAAAACCUGGUCUGAAGCUAAGGUAGGACCUGCUGCCAGUGGUGUUUUGUGUUGGCUCAUGAGCAACCUGGGAGGUAGCCAUGGUCCUUUUAAACUCUGCAAGGCACAGUAACAUUCAGUGUGCAGGAAGAAUCCCAGUCACUUUGGGGUAAAUCAGUAAAGGAACUCUUUGCAGCGCUGCACUUUGGCUCUCCUCAGUCACUGUCCCGUGAGGAUCAGUUCCUGUGGUCACUGCAGCACUUUCCAUGCAUAAAACCCACAUGUGAGAAUAUCUGAACCCUCUGACACGUCCCAGUGCUUCACAAGUCUCUGUAGAACGUGGAUUCUGGGAUAACGCAGAGGAAGGAGAGUGAUGAAGGUAGCAGGGAUUGGGGCAGGGUAGGUAGAUGGGAAUGAGAAGAAUAAAGUCACAAAGAAAGCAGCAGCUCUGGGAGAAACUCCCUGUUAAAGCACAGCUUGCUGGAGAGAACUUUGGGGUCUUUUAGGGUUAACUCUCUGUGUUUUGAGAACACAAUUCUCCUAAGAUGCUUAAUGGUGAGGAGCCCUGUAAUUUUGAAUUCUCAUGGAACAUUUAUAAUACAGUCUAUAUUGUAUCGUAUCUACAGAGUAUCAUUAUAUGAAAUUUCCUUCUGACUGGAAGAAAUCUCGUGUGCUAGGAUGCCAUUACAUUAAUUUAGAAAUAUUGUACUUGCUUUUACUCAGUAGUAAAUGGAGUAGCUGUCUGAGGAUACAUUCAGUGUCUGGAUACACCAUUUGCUUGGCUAGCUCACUGAGAGAAGCAAGGACUGCAUGCCUAAAGCACAGCACAUGGAGGUGAUCUGGAAGUCACAAAUGUGCAUUCGGCCUUUCUGGGUGUAAAAAGUUAGUUAAGCCUUUAACCUCUCCAGAAAGCUCAUUGACAGGGCUGGUGUGCAUUAACACCCCAACAGGAGUUCAGCUGUCACAGCUCUAAUUUAGUCUGUUCCACAAUUUGUGAUCUGUGAAUUCAGCGAAAGUGAGUGAAUGCUUGUCAGAACAUUUAAUAGCACUUGAUUUUUAUGGAAAUUUCUUUUUUUGUGGGCUACCAUAGACCAAUUCAUUUAAAAUAUCAGAGUCCCUAACAGGUGACAGAGAUGUGAAGAGUGUGAGCAGAUGGAUUUCUGAAGGCCUAAUAAUAAGUUUUGUGGCAUUUUCACUGGUUUGUUUUGGUUCUUUAAUCAAAAAUCAGACUGCAGGAGAUGCUGCUGCUGCAGCUUUUUUUCCCCCCGAAAAGUGAAGAAUGAUGUUGUUUGGUGGAGCUUGUUUGUUGAUGCCAUCAAUUUGCUGUGCUGACAGUCCCAGAGGCAGCUGGACCAGUUUUUGUGACAGAGGAUUCACAUAUAAAUUUCUGCGACAUUAAAAUGGGGCUAUUUUUUUUUUUUUUUUUUAAUAAAAUGGGGUUUUGAAAUAGGAGGAUGUAAGCUGUCAGGUGCCAUCUGAGAUACUAACAUUGUCAUGAUGUAAUCCUGGUAGGCUUCAGACAUGGAAAAAGCUGAAAAUGGAUCUGAGAGUGGGAACAAGAGGAAGGGCACAGCAGUGCUCCCAGAGUAAUUGGUCAGAGGAGAAUGAUUGCAAAGGCAGCUCCUGAUGGGAGCCACUGCAAAGGAGGCAGAGCCCUGGAGGUGCCAGAGCCUGGGAGAGCAGGGGAGCCCUGCCCGUGCAGCACAGGGCACUGCAAACCCCCAGGAUGGGAUCACAGCCAGACAGAGCCCGCUGGGCACCGCUGGGGCUGGACACGGCCUCCUGGCAGGUUCCUCAAGGGAGAGGCAUGGACACAGAAUGCCCAAAGAGGGGAAAAGCCCCAGGGAACGGGAUCAGAUUGUUACAACAGUCAUUUUUCCUUUUGUAAACAGUAUUUAAAGCUUUCUGCUUGUAGAAUGCACUGAAUUACGUAUUUUGAAAGAAAAAAGUGAGAAAUUCUGUUUAGAAGUUUAGGCUAUAUUCAGAGAGGAAACACAUAGGGAUUUUCUCUUUUCUUAGCUUUGACUAUUUAUUUUUCAGAUUUUUUUUCCACUCAAAAUACUUUAAUCAAAAAAUUAUAUUUUUAUCCCAAGAUGAAUCUUUAAAUGCAUAAAUAUAUGUGUGAGUGUGUGUUAUUUUUAAUGUUUUUUUCUCUAACUGGUAAAUUACUGAUGUGUUGUAAUCAACAGUGACUCAGAAGAAAGGGAGACUGACUCAUGGAUCUGAUUCAAGUGUUUGCCAGCACUUUUGGAAGGAAUUUCUUUCAUACAGCCUCACUGCAAACUUACCAUUUACUUACCCAGGCUCUGUGCUCAGUUUUCCUAGGGGGUUUCAUCCCCCUGCCUGCUCUGAAAUGAGGCAGUGAGCUGCAGACACAGAAAUGGAUUCAGUGUGGUGCAGUCUGGCUGUUGAGGCAGACUCAGUCACUUGGAGAAGUGUGAGCUCGCUCUGUCCAAGGAAAGGCUGUAUCCCACACCUGAAACCAGAAGCUCUUCCAAAGGCAGCAGUGCCAAGCUCACUCUUGUGACAAACACUGGAAUGCAGCUGAAUGUCACUGGGGAGCAAGGUGUUCUGUGUCUGACCUACAUGAUGAAUGCAAAUGGUGGUUUUAGGAUCCAAAUGGGAAAGCAUAAAAGGCUACAAAAGCCUUAAUUUAUGUUUGUUCAUUUAAAGCUUCAGACCAUUAAGUGGCCAUUAAAUCACUAUUUUAUAUUCUGUUAAGUGCAUCUCUAUCAUCAGAAUAAAAAGAUUGUUUUAAUUCCCCCUGUAUCAAAUAAAACAUCUUAAUUGAGAGCCUUUGUGAUAACAAAUUGGCUGGAAUUGAAAAGUAAAUGCAUGCUGAGCUCUGACGACAGAGCAUCUUUGUGAUUUGGCUUUUAGUGUCUUGUAUGUGCAUGAACAGUUGCAUUAUACAUCUGUUUAUCUGUAUUUAGAGUUCAAUUACAAAGCUUCUACCCCAGGUAAGACUUCCAUUGCACUGAUAGGGUUCUCCAGAUUGAGGUCGGUCACACUAACUCUUCCUGUAGAGCUCAAAUUAUGAGUUUUUAACCAUUUUACCCUUAGCCUCACUGCUAAGGGCCUCCAUUACUUUGACUGUGUCCUGAAAUGGGGAAUAGACACAAGCAGAUGAGAGAAAAUUGCACAUUCUCCUCCCCUUGGAUAUUUCAAUGCUUGUUUUUAUUGCCAGAGGGACAAAAAUUUUAGCAUCUGCCUUUGGCAAAUGGAGAUUUCAAAGAACAUUGAUAUAGAGAUAUAUUUUGACAUAUUUUGUGAUGACAUUUUGAUUGCACUUAAGCACUGCACUCCUGCAAGGGAACUGGUUCCUUCUUUUCCAGUCAUGAGCCUUCCUAUCACCAGUAUUGCCUGGCCUCCAAUUUUCUCGUGGGGCUGGGAAACACCUCUCCCAGGAUGAAUAACUGGGAUGUGUGUAACUAGGUAAUGGCAUGCUCAGCUCUGCAGCAAGUUGAAGUUCUUGUGCUAAAAACAUCUGAAUUCCCAGAUGGAAAUAUUCAAAGAAAAUGCAGUUGGCAAUCAUUGUUUUUAAAACAAAAUAUAUGAUCCUGUUUAAUGUAAUAAAUGGUUCCAGUGUGGUUAAAGCAGACCCCACUACUCAGUUUUCUGAAGAAAACUUUGGCAUUAGGAAGAUCCUUUGAGAUGCCAUUUUUAGGUAAGGCUGUGUGUUAAUAGUUCAGCAAUGGGAUUCCCUGUCAGUGCAUGCACCUGGCAAGGUCACCCCUGUCCCCCAGGAAGGCUGGCUGGCUCCUGCCAUGGCUCUGUUCUCUUCAGCAGGGGGUUCCCAGCGUGGGCAGGAGAGGCUGAGGAGCAGAAGGGCUGAGGAGAGGACACCUGGAGCUCUGUGCAGCGGGAAAGGCCAGGAAAGGGCAGCCCUGGAGCCUGGCUCCCACAGCUGAUCCCAGGUUUAGAACAUCAGAUGACUCCUAGCAGAUGUGAAAUGCUUCUAGAAGCCAAACAGUCAUUCUGUUCAUGCCCUUUGGACCACUCUCUUGAUGAAAUGGCCCCCAGGACCUGUCCCAGCUCUCCCUGGCUACUUCUGCACCAGCAAACUCCAGAGGCCCCUGAGCCCAGAGAUGUGGAGUGCAGCCAGCUCUUUGUAAGAAUAACUAAAAGAAGGCAGAUAACAAACACUGCCAGUUCCCCUCACUGUCAUCAACAGUGAAGUACUUUGCUGAAGCAAAAUGUUAAGAAGCUGAGACUGGACAUUUGAAUACUUAAAAGUUACUGAAUUUUCUGCCCAACUGGAUGGGCUUUUGUGCCUUGUUUCAUGGGGAGCCUCUCAACAGAGUGGAUUUAACGUGAAACUAAUCCAUCUGUGGAAAGAGAAAAGCCCUCUUGUCACCUGGGAUGUGGAGAAUGAGAGGUGCCUCACUGCAGGGAGGAAGGAAGGAAGGACACCCAGGAUGAAGAGGCAGGAGGUGCCUGUGCAGGUGGGAUUGUUCCCAAAGAGAUUUGGCUGUUCCUGAGGCUGCAGCUGAAGGAGGCACUGCCCUUCUCCAGCCCCCGAAGAGCAUCUGGAGGAGUGGAGAGCUUCACCUGUGCUGGCAUGUUGAAAACCCUGAGAGGCUCCAGCUGCAUUUGCCUUCUGCAGAGUGCUGCUGGGAGUGUAGGACAUCGUACAUCAGUGCCCCAGCACUGAGCCAGGAGCAGUGAGGAGGUGCCUGGAGCACUCUUGGUGCUGUGGGGCAGGGACACAGGAGGGGCUCUCUCAUUCCCAAGGGAAGCUCCCUCAGAAUGGUGAGGCUGCCGAGUGGCAUUCUACAUGGAGCUGGCAGCUUUGUGGCUCACUUUGGGGCUCUCAGCUCUCCACAGACCCAUCACUUCUUCUGUGCUGAGGCUCCUGGUUCGGGCAGCACUCGGUGCCUGACGGCUGCAGCCCAGGACGUCCCCUCCUACCUCGGGAAAAUAUUCCACAGCAAGAAAAUAAAUUGCUUCCUUGAAUUCCAGUUCAAAUUAAUGGAAGUCUGGGGGGGAAGAAACAGACAAACAAACGAAGACCUGCCAAAGGAAAGCCUUGCACCUGUCAGUAACUUGUGAAAAGCGAUUCCUCAUUUCUGAGAUCCCUGCCAGGAAUGGGAGAUUUAGCAAGAGUUUCCAAGUUCCUCAGACAAUUGGAAAUGCCCCAGGUCCCUUCUGCAGCCGAUGUCCUCCUGAGGAUGAUGUGUCACCACGUGAAGAUUGAUCUCAGGAAGGACAAAUCAAUUCUGAAACCCAUCGGAGAGGGAAAUGUUUCGAUACGAGCGUGCUCUGCGGGGUCCAGCCAUGGUCGGACAGGAGGAGUCUCCUCCUCCUCCUCCUCCUCCCACAUUCUUUGUCUUUGCUCUGACACAAACCUGGCCCUGUCUCCCCAUCUCUGGGAGUUGGGCACCCACAUUCUUUCGUGGGAAAAAGGAGAGGAAUAUCUGGCUCCCAGUACCUCCACAGAAGAGUUUGAGUCAUUUACAUGAGGAAUUCAGCGAGCAGAGAUCUUCACUUUGAUCAGAUCUGUCUUUUCAGGAACAAGCUGCCACUCUGGGCACCAAAA
Molecule: long non-coding RNA, 5551 nt
Filed under: Taeniopygia guttata (zebra finch)
Lineage: Eukaryota; Metazoa; Chordata; Aves; Passeriformes; Estrildidae
Description: lncRNA (ENSTGUG00000029448.1)
Source: RNAcentral